CACCUCCACCACCAAUGGUACAACCACCUGCACCAGCCCCAUCAGGCCAUUACUAUAGUGCACCACCACCACCAAACCGUUACUCCAACGCCCCACCACCAAGCCAUUACCACAAUACACCACCCUCACCACCAAUGGAGCAACCACCUCGAACUCCAUCAGGCCAUUACUAUAAUAAUCCACCACCACCACCACAAUCACCAAACCAUUACUACAACAUACCUUCGCCACCACCACCAACAAAGAAUAUAUCACCAAGUACCCAUUAUGCACCACCUCCUCCCCCAUCUGUUCAUUAUGUUCCCACGCCUAGUCAUUCAUCUCCUCCACCGCCGCCACCUCAAGUUCAGUAUUUUCCACCUCCUUAUCCGUCAAGAGGGCAGCAAGCAAGUCCACCUCCACCACCAUCUCAUGAGCAUACGGGGACUCAAUCUCCACCUCCACCAGCAGAGUAUCAUCCACCUCCCAAGGAGUCAUGUCAUCCUAUCCCUCCUCCACCCCCACCAGAAUGCACAACUCCCGUAUCAGCACCACCACCGCCAAGCCAACAUUCAACCCCAUCACCAUAUGCACCAGCACCUGGUCAUCACUAUUCAAAACCAUCCCCAC
This 609-nucleotide long non-coding RNA is filed under the name Gossypium barbadense (sea-island cotton). RNAcentral's name for it is "long non-coding RNA (GBAR_LNC015233)". The record is from RNAcentral. Lineage: Eukaryota; Viridiplantae; Streptophyta; Magnoliopsida; Malvales; Malvaceae.